GAUGAACGCUGGCGGCGUGCCUAAUACAUGCAAGUCGAGCGAACAGACGAGGAGCUUGCUCCUUUGACGUUAGCGGCGGACGGGUGAGUCACACGUGGGUAACCUACCUAUAAGACUGGGAUAACUUCGGGAAACCGGAGCUAAUACCGGAUAAUAUUUCGAACCGCAUGGUUCGAUAGUGAAAGAUGGCUUUGCUGUCACUUAUAGAUGGACCUGCGCCGGAUUAGCUAGUUGGUAAGGUAACGGCCUACCAAGGCAACGAUACGUAGCCGACCUGAGAGGGUGAUCGGCCACACUGGAACUGAGACACGGUCCAGACUCCUACGGGAGGCAGCAGUAGGGAAUCUUCCGCAAUGGGCGAAAGCCUGACGGAGCAACGCCGCGUGAGUGAUGAAGGUCUUCGGAUCGUAAAACUCUGUUAGUAGGGAAGAACAAAAGUGUAAGUAACUGUGCACGUCUUGACGGUACCUAAUCAGAAAGCAACGGCUAACUACGUG
This 497-nucleotide ribosomal RNA is filed under the name uncultured bacterium. Its description in RNAcentral is "partial 16S ribosomal RNA". It matches the Rfam family "Bacterial small subunit ribosomal RNA", at positions 28 to 507 of the family's 1533-position model. The record is from RNAcentral.